UGGGGAAUCUUGCGCAAUGGACGAAAGUCUGACGCAGCCACGCCGCGUGAGUGAAGAAGGCCUUCGGGUUGUAAAGCUCUGUCACCUGGGACGAAAACCCAUUUGGUUAAUAGCCAAGUGGCUUGACGGUACCAGGGGAGGAAGCACCGGCUAACUUCGUGCCAGCAGCCGCGGUAAUACGAAGGGUGCAAGCGUUGCUCGGAAUUAUUGGGCGUAAAGGGUUGGUAGGUGGUCUUGUUUGUCUAAGGUG
RNAcentral lists this ribosomal RNA (250 nucleotides) under uncultured bacterium. RNAcentral describes it as "partial 16S ribosomal RNA". It matches the Rfam family "Bacterial small subunit ribosomal RNA", at positions 355 to 596 of the family's 1533-position model. The record is from RNAcentral.